GACGAACGCUGGCGGCGUGCUUAACACAUGCCAGUCGAACGGAAAGGCCCUGCUUUUGUGGGGUGCUCGAGUGGCGAACGGGUGAGUAACACGUGAGUAACCUGCCCUUGACUUUGGGAUAACUUCAGGAAACUGGGGCUAAUACCGGAUAGGAGCUCCUGCUGCAUGGUGGGGGUUGGAAAGUUUCGGCGGUUGGGGAUGGACUCGCGGCUUAUCAGCUUGUUGGUGGGGUAGUGGCUUACCAAGGCUUUGACGGGUAGCCGGCCUGGGAGGGUGACCGGCCACAUUGGGACUGAGAUAAGGCCCAGACUCCUACGGGAGGCAGCAGUGGGGAAUAUUGCACAAUGGGCGGAAGCCUGAUGCAGCAACGCCGCGUGCGGGAUGACGGCCUUCGGGUUGUAAACCGCUUUCGCCUGUGACGAAGCGUGAGUGACGGUAAUGGGUAAAGAAGCACCGGCUAACUACGUG
RNAcentral lists this ribosomal RNA (468 nucleotides) under uncultured bacterium. Its description in RNAcentral is "partial 16S ribosomal RNA". It matches the Rfam family "Bacterial small subunit ribosomal RNA", at positions 28 to 507 of the family's 1533-position model. The record is from RNAcentral.